CAGUGGGGAAUAUUGGACAAUGGGCGGAAGCCUGAUCCAGCAACGCCGCGUGAGGGAUGACGGCCUUCGGGUUGUAAACCUCUUUCAGCAUUGACGAAGCCUGGUCUUUUUGGGUUGGGUGACGGUAGGUGCAGAAGAAGGACCGGCCAACUACGUGCCAGCAGCCGCGGUAAUACGUAGGGUCCGAGCGUUGUCCGGAAUUAUUGGGCGUAAAGGGCUCGUAGGCGGUUUGUUGCGUCGGGAGUGAAAACACCGGGCUUAACUCGGUGCUUGCUUUCGAUACGGGCAGACUUGAGGCAUGCAGGGGAGAACGGAAUUCCUGGUGUAGCGGUGAAAUGCGCAGAUAUCAGGAGGAACACCGGUGGCGAAGGCGGUUCUCUGGGCAUGUUCUGACGCUGAGGAGCGAAAGUGUGGGGAGCGAACAGGAUUAGA
This 432-nucleotide ribosomal RNA is filed under the name uncultured bacterium. Its description in RNAcentral is "bacterial SSU rRNA". It matches the Rfam family "Bacterial small subunit ribosomal RNA", at positions 352 to 782 of the family's 1533-position model. The record is from RNAcentral.